This 499-nucleotide ribosomal RNA is filed under the name uncultured bacterium. RNAcentral describes it as "partial 16S ribosomal RNA". It matches the Rfam family "Bacterial small subunit ribosomal RNA", at positions 28 to 507 of the family's 1533-position model. The record is from RNAcentral.
GAUGAACGCUGGCGGCGUGCCUAAUACAUGCAAGUCGAGCGAAGGCUCUCUGGGGCUUGCCCUAUAAAGACUUAGCGGCGCACGGGUGUGUAAAACGUAAAGAACCCGCCUCAUACGCGGGGAAAACCGUUGGAAAAGAUAGCUAAAAACGGAAAACAGUCUUUCUCUCAAAAGAGAUGUUUAAAAGUUCGUUCUCCUAACAAUAUGAGGUUGCCUUGCUGUGCAUUAGCUAGUUGGUGGGGUAAAGGCCCACCAAGGCGACGAUGCGUAGCAGACCUGAGAGGGUGAUCGGCCACACUGGGACUGAGACACGGCCCAGACUCCUACGGGAGGCAGCAGUAGGGAAUCUUCCGCAAUGGGCGAAAGCCUGACGGAGCAACGCCGCGUGAGUGAAGAAGGACUUCGGUUCGUAAAGCUCUGUUGUUAGGGAAGAAUAGAUGUGUAUUAAUUCUACAUGUUAGUGACGGUACCUAACCAGAAAGCCACGGCUAACUACGUG